RNAcentral lists this ribosomal RNA (443 nucleotides) under uncultured bacterium. RNAcentral describes it as "bacterial SSU rRNA". It matches the Rfam family "Bacterial small subunit ribosomal RNA", at positions 58 to 498 of the family's 1533-position model. The record is from RNAcentral.
CAAGUCGAACGGCAGCGCGGGGCAACCUGGCGGCGAGUGGCGAACGGGUGAGUAAUAUAUCGGAACGUACCCUGGAGUGGGGGAUAACGUAGCGAAAGUUACGCUAAUACCGCAUACGAUCUAAGGAUGAAAGUGGGGGAUCGCAAGACCUCAUGCUCCUGGAGCGGCCGAUAUCUGAUUAGCUAGUUGGUAGGGUAAAAGCCUACCAAGGCAUCGAUCAGUAGCUGGUCUGAGAGGACGACCAGCCACACUGGAACUGAGACACGGUCCAGACUCCUACGGGAGGCAGCAGUGGGGAAUUUUGGACAAUGGGCGCAAGCCUGAUCCAGCAAUGCCGCGUGAGUGAAGAAGGCCUUCGGGUUGUAAAGCUCUUUUGUCAGGGAAGAAACGGGCCUUUCUAAUACAGGGGCCUAAUGACGGUACCUGAAGAAUAAGCACCGGCU